GAUGAACGCUGACAGAAUGCUUAACACAUGCAAGCCUACUUGAUUCUACUUCGGUAGUUGAUGGUGGCGGACGGGUGAGUAACGCGUAAAGAAUCUGCCCUUUAGUUUGGGAUAACCUUUGGAAACGAAGGCUAAUACCGAAUAUUAUGGAGAUGUCGCAUGACGACUUCAUGAAAGCUAUAUGCGCUAGAGGAGGACUUUGCGUCCCAUUAGUUAGUUGGUGAGGUAAUGGCUCACCAAGACCGCGAUGGGUAGCCGGCCUGAGAGGGUGAUCGGCCACAAGGGAACUGAGACACGGUCCUUACUCCUACGGGAGGCAGCAGUGGGGAAUAUUGGACAAUGGACCACAAGUCUGAUCCAGCAAUUCUGUGUGCACGAUGAAGGUCUUCGGAUUGUAAAGUGCUUUCAGUAGGGAAGAAAAAAAUGACGGUACCUACAGAAGAAGCGACGGCUAAAUAUGUGCCAGCAGCCGCCGUAA
Molecule: ribosomal RNA, 478 nt
Filed under: uncultured bacterium
Lineage: Bacteria
Description: partial 16S ribosomal RNA
Rfam family: Bacterial small subunit ribosomal RNA
Source: RNAcentral